ACCAAGCCAAAUCACUGGAAAAAUUUUGGAUGGGUCCACAAGAGCACAAAGUGCAUACUUUUUGAAGAAAAACAUCUUUCAGAUGUAUGAGAAAUUGAUUGGAGCCUGUCUGGAAAACGGCAGCCACUGGACCUUGUUUGUAAGUUGCACAGAUUUUGCACUCUCUCUAGUGCAUGAUACUUUUCAGUGUCCCUCAUUAGGAAAGCUCAAGGCCCAAGCCUACCAUAUCCAUCUUUUUACAAAACAGUUUUGUGACAUACCCAAGAGGACCAUAGUCUAUAUGAAUUCAUUUGGCGAGUCGGAGGUCAGAAAAAGUGCGGUGUUGAAAAACUGGAGCUCAUUUGCUUCAGCAAGAGGCUGCGCUGGAGAGUGGACCUUGUCACAUGUGAGCCACCCACAUCAACAGGAUGGGAACUCAUGUGGAGUGCAUGUCGUCAUGGUACUGAAAACUAUAGCUUUAACCUAUAUAAGUAAUGUUUACAUUUUUGCCUAUUCAGUUUUUAAAGCCUUAGAGGCAGGAUGGUAAAAUCUCAAUUUUUUUUGUAGAUUGAACCAUUUCAGCAGUAAUGCUUUGCUUUGGUUGCUCUGGUUUUUUUUUUUUCUCGGGGGGUGGGGGGGUUAAAAACAAACAAACAUUUCUUUGUUAAUCUAAUUCUUUUUGUUCUUUUUUUUUUUUUUUUUCUUCGUCAAUUAUUAGUUUGCCCAAUCUCUCAUUGACGGUAAAACACAAGUGGAGGAGUACAACACUGAAAUCACAAAGCUCAGGUCCCGACUUUGCCGCUACUUAUUUUCCUCAAUAGGUAAAGAUAAAAUUAGCUGCCUUCUUUUUCUCUAACAUUGGAAAAUGUAACUUGUACUUAAACAAAUUAUAUUUUGCAGAUCGAACUAGGAAGUGCAGUCAGUGCUGGUGUGUGAUUGCAGCCAAAGACUGGGUACACUAUGACAUGUCCUUAGCCAUAUAGAUUGUUUAUUUAAUGGACUUUGUUCAUUUGUUUUUUGUUUGUUUAUUUCUUCUUCUUCUUUUUUUUUUUUUAAUUCACAGGUGCAGUGCCAGAAAUGUGGUGCAUACAAACACAUGCGUUGUUCAAAGUCUGUUUGUGGCAUCUGUAUCUUCUGUGAGAGGCCGUAAAGCCAAACUGCCCGCAAUGAUUCUUGACAGGCCUAAGAAGGCCAAAACUAAAGUAACAGUGUUUAGUGUUCUGAGUGAAGAGGAGGCUGGGGAGCUAGCCCUCGGGUUUGCCGGAAGAUUGGCCUGCGAUGUCACAACAGACAUGGUCUGUAAAGGCAUCGACCAUUCAAGUGCUGAUAUGACAAAACAGACUCUUCUCAAAAUCCAACACAAUCUUAAACAUGAGCUGACUGAUUCCUCAACCUUCAGUUUGCUGACACACACCUUUGGCCCCGCUGCACUGGAUUCUGUCAUUUCAUUCCUGUGUGAAAAACUUGAUCUUGUCUCUUAAAUAAUGAAACCUUUUGUGACUUUUGUUUGUUCUGUAAAUCAGAAUCUUGAAAAUUGUUCAUUGUUGUUCUAAGUUUGUGUUAACUAUUUGGCAAAAAUGAUUGGUUCCUAAUCCAAACAGCAUAAUGACUGUUCUAACACAUAUCUUAAAAAUGCUACAAAGAAAGAAAAUUAUCACAUAUGUUUCAAUAUGAAUGUAAUUGUGUCACACUCGGUUUGUAGUAGCUUUCCUGUUUUAUUUUGAGUUUUGGUAUGUUUACACUGUUAUUUUUAUUUCCCGUGUGUUCGUCUUCCCUUAUUAGUUUUACUGUAUUUAAUUAGUCUGAUUUAAUAACUUAUAAUUAUUUACUUUCCAGUGUGUAUAUAUGCUCCUCGUUUGGAUUA
Astatotilapia calliptera (eastern happy) is the source of this 1843-nucleotide long non-coding RNA. Lineage: Eukaryota; Metazoa; Chordata; Actinopteri; Cichliformes; Cichlidae. The record is from Ensembl.